Molecule: transfer RNA, 68 nt
Filed under: Loxodonta africana (African savanna elephant)
Lineage: Eukaryota; Metazoa; Chordata; Mammalia; Proboscidea; Elephantidae
Rfam family: tRNA
About the family: Transfer RNA (tRNA) molecules are approximately 80 nucleotides in length.
Source: Rfam by way of RNAcentral
GCUUGGUGGUGCAACGGUAAAGCACUCAGCUGCUAACUGAAAGGCUGGUGGUUCAAAUCCACCCAGCA